AAGAGAAAGUCUCUGGCCAGCACACUUGCACUUUGGCCAGGCUGGCUUACCCAAGCAGUGAUUUUGGUCAACACACAACUCCUGUCCUGAUGUUGCCAUCACAGAGGAAAAUGUCCAGUUAUGCAGCCUCUGGACUAAACAGCCACCAGCCCAAUGGAGACGACCUCAUCUUGUCUGCUAGGUAGUUCUCUUAGAAAGACUGGCAGAACUGAAAAAGAGGACUGAUGAAAUAAAACUGCCUUUUGACAAAUCAUUC
Long non-coding RNA from Lagopus leucura (white-tailed ptarmigan), 256 nucleotides. RefSeq lists it as uncharacterized. Lineage: Eukaryota; Metazoa; Chordata; Aves; Galliformes; Phasianidae. The record is from RefSeq and is a predicted model, not a curated record. The transcript has 3 exons.